This 492-nucleotide ribosomal RNA is filed under the name uncultured bacterium. RNAcentral's name for it is "partial 16S ribosomal RNA". It matches the Rfam family "Bacterial small subunit ribosomal RNA", at positions 29 to 507 of the family's 1533-position model. The record is from RNAcentral.
AGUGAACGCUGGCGGUAGGCCUAACACAUGCAAGUCGAACGGCAGCACAGUAAGAGCUUGCUCUUACGGGUGGCGAGUGGCGGACGGGUGAGGAAUACAUCGGAAUCUACUUUUUCGUGGGGGAUAACGUAGGGAAACUUACGCUAAUACCGCAUACGACCUACGGGUGAAAGCAGGGGAUCUUCGGACCUUGCGCGAUUGAAUGAGCCGAUGUCGGAUUAGCUAGUUGGCGGGGUAAAGGCCCACCAAGGCGACGAUCCGUAGCUGGUCUGAGAGGAUGAAUAGCCACACUCGAACUGAGACACGGUCCAGACUCCUACGGGAGGCAGCAGUGGGGAAUAUUGGACAAUGGGCGCAAGCCUGAUCCAGCCAUACCGCGUGGGUGAAGAAGGCCUUCGGGUUCUAAAGCCCUUUUGUUGGGAAAGAAAAGCAGCAGGUUAAUACCCCGCUGUUCUGACGGUACCCAAAGAAUAAGCACCGGCUAACUUCGUG